GCCUGAGAUCCGUCUGUACCUGAAAGCAGGAAGUGAGUCACCGACCCAGAUCGGCGCCGCAGAGUUCACACCGAAGGACACGGAGGGAAAAACAGGUGUGGAUCAUCAGACCGAGAAAACAGUGGAGGGACGUUUUAAUACAGCCACCUGCAAUGGAUGUUGUAGUGAGGAAGAUCAGGAAAUGCACCUUAUUCAAAGGUGCAAUGCCACCUCAGGACUUGUGUCCAGUCACAAAGGAGUGGAAUUGAUGACGCCGUGUCUCGGGAGAGGGGGGGAGGUGAUGCUGAGGAAAUGAAGUUGGACCUUGCCGCACUGGUGUGAGGAUGAAUGUGUGCGCUACACGCCCCGGACACUGUGAGGAAGGAGCGACGCAUGCGCGCGCAAG
Molecule: long non-coding RNA, 385 nt
Organism: Conger conger (European conger)
Lineage: Eukaryota; Metazoa; Chordata; Actinopteri; Anguilliformes; Congridae
Exons: 3
Source: RefSeq, a predicted model, not a curated record